This 253-nucleotide ribosomal RNA is filed under the name uncultured bacterium. Its description in RNAcentral is "partial 16S ribosomal RNA". It matches the Rfam family "Bacterial small subunit ribosomal RNA", at positions 524 to 776 of the family's 1533-position model. The record is from RNAcentral.
UACGGAGGGUGCGAGCGUUGAUCGGAAUUACUGGGCGUAAAGCGCACGUAGGCGGUUUGGUAAGUCGGAUGUGAAAGCCCUGGGCUUAACCUAGGAAUUGCAUUCGAUACUGCCUGACUAGAGUAUGGUAGAGGGAAGUGGAAUUUCCGGUGUAGCGGUGAAAUGCGUAGAUAUCGGAAGGAACACCAGUGGCGAAGGCGACUUCCUGGGCCAAUACUGACGCUGAGGUGCGAAAGCGUGGGGAGCAAACAGG